GCCGUGCGGGCGGCGCGCGCUGCCUCCCGCCCCCAGCGCCGGCCUCCCGCGCUUCGCCAUUUCCCGAGGCGCAAAGCAGUUGCUGAUGGCGAGGGGACUGAUCUUUCCUCACCCAGCGGCGAGACGGGGGCGUCCCUGAGGGUGCUGAGGGCAGCUGGGGUUCCUCUGAAUCUGCUGCAGCAUUCACAGCUGUUGUCAUAAGCCUCAACGGUCUUCCAGUCUGUGUGUACUUUGGUGUGAGAAUGAAGGCCUGGGACAUUGUGGAUUGACCUCUUGAAGUAGAAAUUCAGAUCUUUCUUCUAAUCGUCUUUGUGUGGCCCACCUAAACAAGUAGAAAUUCAAAACAAGAUCCAAAGAAGCCUAGUGGAGGAAGGUGGGAGAACAACAUGUAAAAGGGUAUAAAGGUGAUCUCAAAGGAGAAUGCUCAGGGGGAAUUCAGGGACCAGAGAGUUAAAUGGUUGUAGUUUUAUAGUCUUUAUCAGACCAUCAAGGCUGUAAUCGAAAGAUAGGAGUUAUCAUCUCCAAGAGUUUUGUCAUCUCAAUCAACCUUCAAAGGAAAAUCAUUGCAAGAGAGCCUCUGGGGGACUGAAGACCUGCCCUGUGCCUAAAACCAAAGUGUAGAGCAGCUACUGAAACUGAAGGGAGCUGCUGCUGCUGCUUCUGACCUACUGAACUGUGUGCAAUCCAGAUGAGAAACAGAAGAACAUGGAGGUUUUGCAAUUUGAGCUGAGCCGUGCAGGAGCUCUUUGGCAGAAGAGGCAGCCUCCUGAGGGCUAUACAACAGCUACGCUAAUAUAGAACCCUGCACAGGAGACAACAGCUUUUAAAAUGCAAUCAGGGACUACCAGAAAACACCACAACAAACGCCCAAAACAUGGGAAGGAGCCCACCAGCUGCAGGAUGCCAGCGUGAGGAUCAAAAGAGCAACAUCCCAGGUACAAACAAGAGAACUGUUAAGCUAAUGGGGAGCAUAGGGCGUUCCUGACAUGCUCCAAGUCUUCAGCAAGAAGCAUGGAAGAAGAGUGCAGAAAAAGACCGUGAGAAGACACAUGAGAUAAGAGAUGAGGCCGCUUGCACUGACGGAGCAGGUGGGGAAGAAGACGCAUCUGUUGGCAUCAAGCGCCCGUGUUUAUUACAGCUGGCAAAGAGGUAAGGCCACAGCAGCCAGACGAGGGUGGAAAUAGCCAAGCUGCUGGUCUGCAGCGUUGGCUGUAAAGUCCUCACACGCAGCAGAUGGGAUGAGAUGUGCCAACAGCCCCAAGUCUGCAAGCAGGCAGUAGCUCCAUGGGAUGCUGGAGGACCACAAGACCAGGCACUGACUCAGUCCACGGCAAGUCCCAGCUUCAGACAGCCGUCUGCCAUCUGCUUUGGCCAGACACCGAGACGCUAGCAAUUGGCUGCCGUUACUGUCAUGAGCAAAGUUGUCACAGCCUCCAGUAACAUCAGUAGGAAGAGGUCAGUCCCCAGUGUGACAGAGCAGACGUGGAGGCUGGCAAACUACCCAGGCUCAAGCGAAUUAAGGUGGGAGGAGGUAAAGCAACUAGAAAGGGCAGUUUUUAAAGCUGCACCGAGUAGAAGGUAAGAAAAUAUCAUAAAUUUUAUUUCAUGCCUUCUUGCCAAUUGUUAGAAAUGUGCAGUCCAUAUGAAUUCAUAUAACAAGGAGGGAAUGUUGGGAAAACCAAUAAAGAUUUUGUGGUCUUAACUAUAAUGAAUGUAGUUUGAUAUAGAGUCUGUUUUUCACUGCAUGGCAAAAUGAAUCAUAAAAUACUGGACCUUGAAACUCCUGCAUUUUUUAACAAUAGCCUGGGGACAGUUUACAGUGUAAUGAAUUGUAAUUAACCCACCUUCAAAAUCUUUUAUGAGUAUUUUGCCAAUUAGCUUCGCAUGCUUGCUAAUGACUCAUGGCCAGCGCAUGUCUUUACAGAGCAGCCUUUUACAGCACACGCUAGCCUGUUAAGUCAGCAGAAGUAUGCAGGACAGCGAGGUAGACACAGCUUAGUACAGCCAUGCACCAAGAAGCAGCUGCGAGGUGGAGCCAGCAAAGCUGAGAAAGAACUGCACCACCAUCGUGGAGGGAAAAGGCUCCCACUCAUGUGAUGAGCUUCACACAGCUGGGCUGGAAGAGAAAUGAAAAGGCUGGUGACAGACUCACAGAGAGGUGCUACCUCCACUCCUGUCACUGACGGCUUCGUUGAACAGCGGUUUGAGGACGAAGCAAAUGGGAAGGACAAAGAAGAAAGGAGAUGUGGACAGUCGGCUCUCCUGCUCCCACCUCCGCAACACUAACACGAUGGCUGACACCCCAAGAUGCCAUCUCUGUGUGUGUGUGCGUAAAUCCGAGUCCAUCAGCACUGUGGCUGCUCAGCUAACAGACCCUCAAGACAAAUAAAGAAUAGAGGAUAAAUUGUAAUAUUUGUAAUAUUUUAAAAUGUUUCUGCUGUAAAAAUACUUUUUGACUGGAGGAAUCUUAGCCAGAAAUGUAAUUGCCUUAUAAAGAGUUCUUGUAACGCACUUGGAGAUUGGAUUCA
Falco peregrinus (peregrine falcon) is the source of this 2528-nucleotide long non-coding RNA. RefSeq lists it as uncharacterized. The record is from RefSeq and is a predicted model, not a curated record. NCBI's taxonomy places the organism in Eukaryota, Metazoa, Chordata, Aves, Falconiformes, Falconidae. The transcript has 15 exons.